GACAUAAUGCAACUAGCACAGUCUAAUAAUCACCACCACCACCACCACUAAACCCAGCUUUCUUAGCCUGUGGGUAGUGACGAAGGCCGAAAGCUGUUCGAUCUUAUCGGAUUGAUCGGGCAGCCUGGGACUUCCAGGAAAUAGCUCCCACGCCAAGACCGUACCCGAAACCGACACAGGUGGACUGGUAGAGCAUACCAAGGCGCUUGAGAGAAUGGUGUUGAAGGAACUCGGCAAAUUGCUCCCGUAACUUCGGAAGAAGGGAGACCUCUCUUUGCGCAAGCAGAGGGGGGUGGCACAGACCAGGGGGUGGCGACUGUUUACUAAAAACACAGGGCUCUGCGAAGUCGCAAGACGACGUAUAGGGUCUGACGCCUGCCCGGUGCCGGAAGGUUAAGAGGAGGGGUGCAAGCUCUGAAUCGAAGCCCCGGUAAACGGCGGCCGUAACAAUAACGGUCCUAAGGUAGCGAAAUUCCUUGUCGGGUAAGUUCCGACCUGCACGAAUGGCGUAACGACUUCCCCGCUGUCUCCAACACCAACUCAGCGAAAUUGAACUCUCCGUGAAGAUGCGGAGUACCCGCGGUUAGACGGAAAGACCCCGUGCACCUUUACUCCAGCUUUGCAGUGGUAUUAGAGGUUUCAUGUGUAGGAUAGGCGGGAGACUAUGAAGCAUUGGCGCCAGCUAGUGUGGAGUCACCCUUGAAAUACCGCCCUUGAAACCUCUGAUAUCUAACCGCGUCCCGUUAUCCGGGACCGGGACCCUGCAUGGUGGGGAGUUUGACUGGGGCGGUCGCCUCCCAAAGAGUAACGGAGGCGCGCGAUGGUGGGCUCAAGCUGGUCGGAAAUCAGCUGACGAGUGCAAUGGCAUAAGCCCGCCUGACUGCGAGACCGACAGGUCGAGCAGAGACGAAAGUCGGCCAUAGUGAUCCGGUGGUCCCGCGUGGAAGGGCCAUCGCUCAACGGAUAAAAGGUACGCCGGGGAUAACAGGCUGAUCUCCCCCAAGAGUCCAUAUCGACGGGGAGGUUUGGCACCUCGAUGUCGGCUCAUCACAUCCUGGGGCUGGAGCAGGUCCCAAGGGUUCGGCUGUUCGCCGAUUAAAGUGGUACGUGAGCUGGGUUUAGAACGUCGUGAGACAGUUCGGUCCCUAUCUGCCGUGGGUGUCGGAGACUUGAGAGGAUUGUCCCUAGUACGAGAGGACCGGGAUGAACGUACCUCUGGUGUACCGGUUGUGGCGCCAGCCGCAUCGCCGGGUAGCUAAGUACGGACGGGAUAACCGCUGAAUGCAUCUAAGCGGGAAACCCACCUCAAAACCAGGUCUCCCUCGAGAGCCGUGGAAGACCACCACGUCGAUAGGCCAGGUGUGGAAGCGCAGUAAUGCGCGAAGCUAACUGGUACUAAUCGCUUGAAAAA
This 1411-nucleotide ribosomal RNA is filed under the name metagenome. RNAcentral's name for it is "bacterial LSU rRNA". It matches the Rfam family "Bacterial large subunit ribosomal RNA", at positions 1496 to 2925 of the family's 2925-position model. The record is from RNAcentral.